CCUACGGGAGGCAGCAGUGGGGAAUAUUGCACAAUGGGGGAAACCCUGAUGCAGCGACGCCGCGUGAGUGAAGAAGUAAUUCUUUAUGUAAAGCUCUAUCAGCAGGGAAGAAAAUUACGGUACCUGAGUAAGAAUCCCCGGCUAACUACGUGCCAGCCGCCGCGGUAAUACGUAGGGGGCAAGCGUUAUCCGGAUUUACUGGGUGUAAAGGGAGCGUAGACGGAAGUGCAAGUCUGGAGUGAAAGGCGGGGGCUCAACCCCCGGACUGCUCUGGAAACUGUAAGGCUGGAGUGCAGGAGAGGUAAGUGGAAUUCCUAGUGUAGCGGUGAAAUGCGUAGAUAUUAGGAGGAACACCAGUGGCGAAGGCGGCUUACUGGACUGUAACUGACGUUGAGGCUCGAAAGCGUGGGGAGCAAACAGGAUUAGAUACCCCGGUAGUC
Molecule: ribosomal RNA, 440 nt
Filed under: uncultured bacterium
Lineage: Bacteria
Description: partial 16S ribosomal RNA
Rfam family: Bacterial small subunit ribosomal RNA
Source: RNAcentral